GGGCGCGUAGCUCAGCUGGUUAGAGCGCUACACUCACAUUGUAGAGGUCAGGGGUUCGAGUCCCUUCGCGCCCA
RNAcentral lists this transfer RNA (74 nucleotides) under Pseudomonadota bacterium. RNAcentral's name for it is "tRNA-Val". It matches the Rfam family "tRNA". From Rfam's summary of the family: Transfer RNA (tRNA) molecules are approximately 80 nucleotides in length. Their secondary structure includes four short double-helical elements and three loops (D, anti-codon, and T loops). Further hydrogen bonds mediate the characteristic L-shaped molecular structure. tRNAs have two regions of fundamental functional importance: the anti-codon, which is responsible for specific mRNA codon recognition, and the 3' end, to which the tRNAs corresponding amino acid is attached (by aminoacyl-tRNA synthetases). tRNAs cope with the degeneracy of the genetic code in two manners: having more than one tRNA (with a specific anti-codon) for a particular amino acid; and 'wobble' base-pairing, i.e. permitting non-standard base-pairing at the 3rd anti-codon position. Lineage: Bacteria; Pseudomonadati; Pseudomonadota. RNAcentral also lists the same sequence under 1 other name. The record is from RNAcentral.